GAUGAACGCUAGCGGCAGGCCUAAUACAUGCAAGUCGAGGGGCAGCAUAGUAGCAAUACUGAUGGCGACCGGCGCACGGGUGCGUAACGCGUAUGCAACCUACCUUUUACNGGGGGAUAGCCCGGAGAAAUUCGGAUUAACACCGCAUAAUAAGUUGAAGUGGCAUCACUUUAAUUUAAUAUUUAUAGGUAAGAGAUGGGCAUGCGUCCAAUUAGCUAGUUGGGUAGGUAACGGCUCACCAAGGCGAUGAUUGGUAGGGUUCGUGAGAGGGAACGGUCCCCACACUGGUACUGAGAUACGGACCAGACUCCUACGGGAGGCAGCAGGUAGGGAAUAUUGGGCAAUGGGCGAGAGCCUGACCCAGCCAUGCCGCGUG
RNAcentral lists this ribosomal RNA (376 nucleotides) under uncultured bacterium. RNAcentral's name for it is "bacterial SSU rRNA". It matches the Rfam family "Bacterial small subunit ribosomal RNA", at positions 28 to 403 of the family's 1533-position model. The record is from RNAcentral.